UUAAGCGACUAAGCGUACACGGUGGAUGCCCUGGCAGUCAGAGGCGAUGAAGGACGUGCUAAUCUGCGAUAAGCGUCGGUAAGGUGAUAUGAACCGUUAUAACCGGCGAUUUCCGAAUGGGGAAACCCAGUGUGAUUCGUCACACUAUCAUUAACUGAAUCCAUAGGUUAAUGAGGCGAACCGGGGGAACUGAAACAUCUAAGUACCCCGAGGAAAAGAAAUCAACCGAGAUUCCCCCAGUAGCGGCGAGCGAACGGGGAGGAGCCCAGAGCCUGAAUCAGUGUGUGUGUUAGUGGAAGCGUCUGGAAAGGCGCGCGAUACAGGGUGACAGCCCCGUACACAAAAAUGCACAUGCUGUGAGCUCGAUGAGUAGGGCGGGACACGUGGUAUCCUGUCUGAAUAUGGGGGGACCAUCCUCCAAGGCUAAAUACUCCUGACUGACCGAUAGUGAACCAGUACCGUGAGGGAAAGGCGAAAAGAACCCCGGCGAGGGGAGUGAAAAAGAACCUGAAACCGUGUACGUACAAGCAGUGGGAGCACAGAGCAAUCUGUGUGACUGCGUACCUUUUGUAUAAUGGGUCAGCGACUUAUAUUCUGUAGCAAGGUUAACCGAAUAGGGGAGCCGAAGGGAAACCGAGUCUUAACUGGGCGUUAAGUUGCAGGGUAUAGACCCGAAACCCGGUGAUCUAGCCAUGGGCAGGUUGAAGGUUGGGUAACACUAACUGGAGGAUCGAACCGACUAAUGUUGAAAAAUUAGCGGAUGACUUGUGGCUGGGGGUGAAAGGCCAAUCAAACCGGGAGAUAGCUGGUUCUCCCCGAAAGCUAUUUAGGUAGCGCCUCGUGAAUUCAUCUCCGGGGGUAGAGCACUGUUUCGGCAAGGGGGUCAUCCCGACUUACCAACCCGAUGCAAACUACGAAUACCGGAGAAUGUUAUCACGGGAGACACACGGCGGGUGCUAACGUCCGUCGUGAAGAGGGAAACAACCCAGACCGCCAGCUAAGGUCCCAAAGUCAUGGUUAAGUGGGAAACGAUGUGGGAAGGCCCAGACAGCCAGGAUGUUGGCUUAGAAGCAGCCAUCAUUUAAAGAAAGCGUAAUAGCUCACUGGUCGAGUCGGCCUGCGCGGAAGAUGUAACGGGGCUAAACCAUGCACCGAAGCUGCGGCAGCGACGCUGAUGCGUUGUUGGGUAGGGGAGCGUUCUGUAAGCCUGCGAAGGUGUGCUGUGAGGCAUGCUGGAGGUAUCAGAAGUGCGAAUGCUGACAUAAGUAACGAUAAAGCGGGUGAAAAGCCCGCUCGCCGGAAGACCAAGGGUUCCUGUCCAACGUUAAUCGGGGCAGGGUGAGUCGACCCCUAAGGCGAGGCCGAAAGGCGUAGUCGAUGGGAAACAGGUUAAUAUUCCUGUACUUGGUGUUACUGCGAAGGGGGGACGGAGAAGGCUAUGUUGGCCGGGCGACGGUUGUCCCGGUUUAAGCGUGUAGGCUGGUUUUCCAGGCAAAUCCGGAAAAUCAAGGCUGAGGCGUGAUGACGAGGCACUACGGUGCUGAAGCAACAAAUGCCCUGCUUCCAGGAAAAGCCUCUAAGCAUCAGGUAACAUCAAAUCGUACCCCAAACCGACACAGGUGGUCAGGUAGAGAAUACCAAGGCGCUUGAGAGAACUCGGGUGAAGGAACUAGGCAAAAUGGUGCCGUAACUUCGGGAGAAGGCACGCUGAUAUGUAGGUGAAGUCCCUCGCGGAUGGAGCUGAAAUCAGUCGAAGAUACCAGCUGGCUGCAACUGUUUAUUAAAAACACAGCACUGUGCAAACACGAAAGUGGACGUAUACGGUGUGACGCCUGCCCGGUGCCGGAAGGUUAAUUGAUGGGGUUAGCGCAAGCGAAGCUCUUGAUCGAAGCCCCGGUAAACGGCGGCCGUAACUAUAACGGUCCUAAGGUAGCGAAAUUCCUUGUCGGGUAAGUUCCGACCUGCACGAAUGGCGUAAUGAUGGCCAGGCUGUCUCCACCCGAGACUCAGUGAAAUUGAACUCGCUGUGAAGAUGCAGUGUACCCGCGGCAAGACGGAAAGACCCCGUGAACCUUUACUAUAGCUUGACACUGAACAUUGAGCCUUGAUGUGUAGGAUAGGUGGGAGGCUUUGAAGUGUGGACGCCAGUCUGCAUGGAGCCGACCUUGAAAUACCACCCUUUAAUGUUUGAUGUUCUAACGUGGACCCGUAAUCCGGGUUGCGGACAGUGUCUGGUGGGUAGUUUGACUGGGGCGGUCUCCUCCUAAAGAGUAACGGAGGAGCACGAAGGUUGGCUAAUCCUGGUCGGACAUCAGGAGGUUAGUGCAAUGGCAUAAGCCAGCUUGACUGCGAGCGUGACGGCGCGAGCAGGUGCGAAAGCAGGUCAUAGUGAUCCGGUGGUUCUGAAUGGAAGGGCCAUCGCUCAACGGAUAAAAGGUACUCCGGGGAUAACAGGCUGAUACCGCCCAAGAGUUCAUAUCGACGGCGGUGUUUGGCACCUCGAUGUCGGCUCAUCACAUCCUGGGGCUGAAGUAGGUCCCAAGGGUAUGGCUGUUCGCCAUUUAAAGUGGUACGCGAGCUGGGUUUAGAACGUCGUGAGACAGUUCGGUCCCUAUCUGCCGUGGGCGCUGGAGAAUUGAGGGGGGCUGCUCCUAGUACGAGAGGACCGGAGUGGACGCAUCACUGGUGUUCGGGUUGUCAUGCCAAUGGCACUGCCCGGUAGCUAAAUGCGGAAGAGAUAAGUGCUGAAAGCAUCUAAGCACGAAACUUGCCCCGAGAUGAGUUCUCCCUGACUCCUUGAGAGUCCUGAAGGAACGUUGAAGACGACGACGUUGAUAGGCCGGGUGUGUAAGCGCAGCGAUGCGUUGAGCUAACCGGUACUAAUGAACCGUGAGGCUUAACCUU
This 2904-nucleotide ribosomal RNA is filed under the name Escherichia coli. Its description in RNAcentral is "bacterial LSU rRNA". It matches the Rfam family "Bacterial large subunit ribosomal RNA". The record is from RNAcentral. Lineage: Bacteria; Pseudomonadati; Pseudomonadota; Gammaproteobacteria; Enterobacterales; Enterobacteriaceae.